This 418-nucleotide ribosomal RNA is filed under the name Salmonella enterica. RNAcentral describes it as "bacterial SSU rRNA". It matches the Rfam family "Bacterial small subunit ribosomal RNA", at positions 1128 to 1533 of the family's 1533-position model. The record is from RNAcentral. Lineage: Bacteria; Pseudomonadati; Pseudomonadota; Gammaproteobacteria; Enterobacterales; Enterobacteriaceae.
AGGCCGGGAACUCAAAGGAGACUGCCAGUGAUAAACUGGAGGAAGGUGGGGAUGACGUCAAGUCAUCAUGGCCCUUACGACCAGGGCUACACACGUGCUACAAUGGCGCAUACAAAGAGAAGCGACCUCGCGAGAGCAAGCGGACCUCAUAAAGUGCGUCGUAGUCCGGAUUGGAGUCUGCAACUCGACUCCAUGAAGUCGGAAUCGCUAGUAAUCGUGGAUCAGAAUGCUACGGUGAAUACGUUCCCGGGCCUUGUACACACCGCCCGUCACACCAUGGGAGUGGGUUGCAAAAGAAGUAGGUAGCUUAACCUUCGGGAGGGCGCUUACCACUUUGUGAUUCAUGACUGGGGUGAAGUCGUAACAAGGUAACCGUAGGGGAACCUGCGGUUGGAUCACCUCCUUACCUUAAAGAAGC